Molecule: long non-coding RNA, 699 nt
Organism: Vanessa atalanta (red admiral)
Lineage: Eukaryota; Metazoa; Arthropoda; Insecta; Lepidoptera; Nymphalidae
Exons: 2
Source: RefSeq, a predicted model, not a curated record
UUGAAAAAUUCUGAAUUCGGUCCUUAUUAUAAAGUGAUAAAUUAUUAAUAAAUAUCAUUAAACAAUAUGAGCUUAAAAUUAUUGUGGAAUUGCGCCAGGAUAAUCUUGUUAUCAGGAUUAUCUUUUGGAAUUUAAAAUAUAUACUCCAAAUUUCAGUGGACUAUAAUUGGGAGUAUAAAGAAUUCGCUUGGGCAGGUAACAGUGGCCGCAUGAUUUGCGUGUCCUUACUGAGUCUCGUGAGUGCAACGGCGUUAAUCAUUUGCAUACCCUACUGCACUCAGAAAAUCUUACAUCGCAAGUGUACCUGCCCUCCUGUGCCCAUCUGCCCUGACUGCGGAAUACCCUACUGAAUAUUGUUACAAAUUCUUAACUUUAGUCAUCUAAAAUUGAAUCUGUGAGUUGAUUGUUAUUUUGUGAAGGUCUAAUUUCACCUCGAUCACAUUUCUUUUAUUGAACAUUCGAUUAAUUAUUUAAAUGGACCGCUAUUAUCAAUUUUAGUGAGUGUAUUUUAUUUGUUGGUAAAGAUGAUUUGUAUGACAGCUGCGACGGCAGUGGCCGCUAUGGGUCUGAUAGCUUGCGGUCCUUUGGUUUGUGAGAAAUUAUUGCGAUGCUUCUUGAAAUCAACCAAACGAUAGUUGUACCUUUUUCUACGUUUGUAAUAUUAUCAUAAAUAAAUAAAUAAAUAUGUAUUUCACUUAA